RNAcentral lists this ribosomal RNA (429 nucleotides) under Gemmatimonadota bacterium. RNAcentral describes it as "Gemmatimonadetes bacterium partial 16S ribosomal RNA". It matches the Rfam family "Bacterial small subunit ribosomal RNA", at positions 355 to 776 of the family's 1533-position model. Lineage: Bacteria; Pseudomonadati; Gemmatimonadota. The record is from RNAcentral.
UAGGGAAUCUUCGGCAAUGGACGAAAGUCUGACCGAGCAACGCCGCGUGAGUGAAGAAGGUUUUCGGAUCGUAAAACUCUGUUGUUAGAGAAGAACAAGGACGUUAGUAACUGAACGUCCCCUGAUGGUAUCUAACCAGAAAGCCACGGCUAACUACGUGCCAGCAGCCGCGGUAAUACGUAGGUGGCAAGCGUUGUCCGGAUUUAUUGGGCGUAAAGCGAGCGCAGGCGGUUUCUUAAGUCUGAUGUGAAAGCCCCCGGCUCAACCGGGGAGGGUCAUUGGAAACUGGGAGACUUGAGUGCAGAAGAGGAGAGUGGAAUUCCAAGUGUAGCGGUGAAAUGCGUAGAUAUAUGGAGGAACACCAGUGGCGAAGGCGGCUCUCUGGUCUGUAACUGACGCUGAGGCUCGAAAGCGUGGGGAGCAAACAGG